Molecule: ribosomal RNA, 513 nt
Filed under: uncultured bacterium
Lineage: Bacteria
Description: bacterial SSU rRNA
Rfam family: Bacterial small subunit ribosomal RNA
Source: RNAcentral
GGCUCACCAAGGCGACGAUCAGUAGCGGGUCUGAGAGGAUGAUCCGCACACUGGGACUGAGACACGGCCCAGACUCCUACGGGAGGCAGCAGUGGGAAUUUUGGACAAUGGGCGAAAGCCUGAUCCAGCCAUGCCGCGUGUCUGAAGAAGGCCUUCGGGUUGUAAAGGACUUUUGUCAGGGAGCAAAACUUACUGGUUAAUACCCGGUGAGGCUGAGAGUACCUGAAGAAUAAGCACCGGCUAACUACGUGCCAGCAGCCGCGGUAAUACGUAGGGUGCAAGCGUUAAUCGGAAUUACUGGGCGUAAAGCGUGCGCAGGCGGACUUUUAAGCCAGAUGUGAAAGCCCCGAGCUUAACUUGGGAAUUGCGUUUGGAACUGGGAGUCUAGAGUCUGUCAGAGGGGGAUGGAAUUCCACGUGUAGCAGUGAAAUGCGUAGAGAUGUGGAGGAACACCGAUGGCGAAGGCAGUCCCCUGGGAUAAGACUGACGCUCAUGCACGAAAGCGUGGGGAGC